Molecule: unclassified non-coding RNA, 200 nt
Filed under: soil metagenome
Description: partial contains internal transcribed spacer 2 and large subunit ribosomal RNA
Source: RNAcentral
CCCUCGAGCCCCUUCGGACUCGGUGUUGGGGAUCGGCCGUCCUAGCGGCGGCCGGCCCCGAAAUAUAGUGGCGGUCUCGCUGUAGCCUCCUCUGCGUAGUAGUAAAACCCUCGCAGGUGGAGCUCGGUGUUGCCAUGCCGUAAAACCCCCAACUUAUCAAGGUUGACCUCAGAUCAGGUAGGAAUACCCGCUGAACUUAA